GCCCUGGUGGCUUAAUGGUUAAGAAUUCAGCUGCCAGCUGAAAGGUGGUGCUUCAAACCCACCCAGCAGCU
RNAcentral lists this transfer RNA (71 nucleotides) under Loxodonta africana (African savanna elephant). It matches the Rfam family "tRNA". From Rfam's summary of the family: Transfer RNA (tRNA) molecules are approximately 80 nucleotides in length. The record is from Rfam by way of RNAcentral. Lineage: Eukaryota; Metazoa; Chordata; Mammalia; Proboscidea; Elephantidae.